CGCUCGACAUCAGAGUUUGAUCCUGGCUCAGGAUGAACGCUGGCGGCGUGCUUAACACAUGCAAGUCGAACGGACUUUUAUUGAAGCCUAGCGAUAUAAAAGUUAGUGGCGGACGGGUGAGUAACGCGUGAAUAACCUGCCUUAUACUGGGGGACAACAGUUGGAAACGACUGCUAAUACCGCAUAAGCGCACGGGACCGCAUGGUCUAGUGUGAAAAACUCCGGUGGUAUAAGAUGGAUUCGCGUCUGAUUAGCUAGUUGGUGAGGUAACGGCUCACCAAGGCGACGAUCAGUAGCCGGCCUGAGAGGGUGAACGGCCACAUUGGGACUGAGACACGGCCCAA
This 344-nucleotide ribosomal RNA is filed under the name uncultured bacterium. RNAcentral describes it as "bacterial SSU rRNA". It matches the Rfam family "Bacterial small subunit ribosomal RNA", at positions 1 to 334 of the family's 1533-position model. The record is from RNAcentral.